UAUACUUCUGGUAAGUUCUUUGCUCUUUUCUCGCCAAAUCUCAAAUGUUUAUCUAUUUGAAAUUAAGUACGGAAAAUACCGCAUAAGUACUGAUAAAAGGAACAGACUCAAGAUCAGUUCAUUGCGCUCACUUCAAUGUAUGAGCGAAAGUCCCAAUGACAACGAUGUUAACUUCAUACAUUAGCUUAGUGGCAUCCACGAUACGAAACACUGGCCGCGAUUUUGAGUCAAAGAGUGAGUAUUAAUUAUCGCCACGUAUCUCAAGCAAUUCAAGAGUACAGCUGUUCUUCCCGAUACUGAGUCACGAAACGUGUGAUCGUAAGACGUACAUACAAAUAACAGGUCCAUGGAUAGUUUUUAGUCUGAGGUUAUGAACGUUAACCGAAUGAGGUUAUGAAUAUCGACUGCGCGAUUAAUCGCAAUCCCAGGUUAACGCGACAGAAGUUCAUCUGCAAAAUUUUAUAUUUUUGGUGAUCACACACAGGAAAAUGUAUGCUGCAUUUAAUGUGCAUUUACGCGCAAAAUUUGACGAGGAAAACGCACAAAAAAUGUCUGUUAAUAUCAUCAAAGAUCCAAAUUGGAGCAAGAAGAGCAGAACAAUAAACAUCAGACGUAAAUUCACAUCAUUUCGAUUGACUCCUGCUCGGAAAUCUGCUUCGACAAUCUGCUCGGAACAAGCGUGACGGAGAAACGGCACUGACGAAUAAAUCAGU
Long non-coding RNA from Odontomachus brunneus, 713 nucleotides. RefSeq lists it as uncharacterized. The transcript is spliced from 3 exons. NCBI's taxonomy places the organism in Eukaryota, Metazoa, Arthropoda, Insecta, Hymenoptera, Formicidae. The record is from RefSeq and is a predicted model, not a curated record.